RNAcentral lists this ribosomal RNA (341 nucleotides) under Campylobacter sp. RNAcentral's name for it is "bacterial SSU rRNA". It matches the Rfam family "Bacterial small subunit ribosomal RNA", at positions 620 to 960 of the family's 1533-position model. The record is from RNAcentral. Lineage: Bacteria; Pseudomonadati; Campylobacterota; Epsilonproteobacteria; Campylobacterales; Campylobacteraceae.
UUACUGCUUGGGACUGAUAGUCUAGAGUGAGGGAGAGGCAGAUGGAAUUGGUGGUGUAGGGGUAAAAUCCGUAGAUAUCACCAAGAAUACCCAUUGCGAAGGCGAUCUGCUGGAACUUAACUGACGCUAAGGCGCGAAAGCGUGGGGAGCAAACAGGAUUAGAUACCCUGGUAGUCCACGCCCUAAACGAUGUACACUAGUUGUUGGGGUGCUAGUCAUCUCAGUAAUGCAGCUAACGCAUUAAGUGUACCGCCUGGGGAGUACGGUCGCAAGAUUAAAACUCAAAGGAAUAGACGGGGACCCGCACAAGCGGUGGAGCAUGUGGUUUAAUUCGAAGAUAC